Molecule: ribosomal RNA, 122 nt
Filed under: Pogona vitticeps (central bearded dragon)
Lineage: Eukaryota; Metazoa; Chordata; Lepidosauria; Squamata; Agamidae
Source: RNAcentral
GGUUGAUUGCAUCCUUGUUCAUGAACACACCGUUUCUUCACUGAUUUUGGAAGUUAAUCAGGGCCAGGUUUGGUUCGUACUUGGAUGGGUGACCACCAGAGAAUAGCAGGGAUCUUCAGCUA